This 117-nucleotide ribosomal RNA is filed under the name Persephonella sp. The record is from RNAcentral. Lineage: Bacteria; Pseudomonadati; Aquificota; Aquificia; Aquificales; Hydrogenothermaceae.
CUUGGUGCCCAUAGCGGGGAGGCUACACCCGGCCCCAUUCCGAACCCGGCAGUUAAGCUCCCCUGCGCCCAUGAUACUGGCCGGGCAACCGGUCGGGAAAGUCGGUCGGUGCCAAGG